GCCAUGGAGCGUUUCGGGUCCAGG
This 24-nucleotide non-coding RNA is filed under the name Cricetulus griseus (Chinese hamster). The record is from RNAcentral. Lineage: Eukaryota; Metazoa; Chordata; Mammalia; Rodentia; Cricetidae.